Molecule: ribosomal RNA, 797 nt
Filed under: Menurella xenadelpha
Lineage: Eukaryota; Metazoa; Arthropoda; Insecta; Lepidoptera; Nepticulidae
Description: eukaryotic LSU rRNA
Rfam family: Eukaryotic large subunit ribosomal RNA
Source: RNAcentral
CGUUCAGGGGUAAACCUGCGAAACUCGAAUGAACGAACGGGGAGAUUCAUCGUCAUUCGGCGGACGACUUUGCGGUUGUACGAUGGGAGGCCCGCCGGCGAUCUCGGUCGUCGGUGUGAGUUUCGCACGCACACCGUGCAGUAUCAUGCUCCGUCGACGGCGUGCACUUCUCCCUUAGUAAUGCAUCGUGACCCGCUCGACGUCGGUCUAAGCACCUAUCGGGAGCCCGAGGCGCAUCGCGCGUCACGGACCGUUACGGUAGCCGGCCGUCUGUUUGGCGGUAGUGAAUAUGAAACGUGCACGCGUUCGUCGCGUCCGGCCCGACGCAAGGUCGUCGCGAUGCCGCUCACACGCCUCUGUGCGUUGAGCGUGUGUCCGGUGCCUGCAUAUCGCAGCCGUGCUGUCUCGGACGUGCGCGUAUCGUGUCAACGAUGUUUUUGUUUCGGGCACUCGCAGGACCCGUCUUGAAACACGGACCAAGGAGUCUAGCAUGUGUGCGAGUCAAUGGGUGUACACAUUAAACCGAAAGGCUCAACGAAAGUGAAGGCACGUGCUCGACACGCGCUCGGGGAGGAUGAUUUCGGCUAUCGCAGUCGAGAUUCGCACUCCUGAGGCGUCCCGUUCGCAAUCUGUCGAUGUGGGCGCGCUCAGAGCACAGAUGCUGGGACCCGAAAGAUGGUGAACUAUGCCUGGUCAGGUCGAAGUCAGGGGAAACCCUGAUGGAGGACCGUAGCGAUUCUGACGUGCAAAUCGAUCGUCGGAACUGGGUAUAGGGGCGAAAGACUAAUCGAACCAUC